GUGCCAGCCGCCGCGGUAAUACGGAGGGAGCGAGCGUUGUUCGGAAUCACUGGGCGUAAAGCGUACGUAGGCGGUCUUGCAAGUCAGGAGUGAAAGCCCAGGGCUUAACCUUGGAAUUGCUUUUGAAACUGCAAGACUAGAGUCCCGGAGAGGUUGGCGGAAUUCCGAGUGUAGAGGUGAAAUUCGCAGAUAUUCGGAGGAACACCAGUGGCGAAAGCGGCCAACUGGACGGGAACUGACGCUGAGGUACGAAAGCGUGGGGAGCAAACAGGAUUAGAUACCCUUGUAGUCC
Molecule: ribosomal RNA, 292 nt
Filed under: uncultured bacterium
Lineage: Bacteria
Description: partial 16S ribosomal RNA
Rfam family: Bacterial small subunit ribosomal RNA
Source: RNAcentral